RNAcentral lists this ribosomal RNA (256 nucleotides) under uncultured bacterium. RNAcentral's name for it is "partial 16S ribosomal RNA". It matches the Rfam family "Bacterial small subunit ribosomal RNA", at positions 524 to 776 of the family's 1533-position model. The record is from RNAcentral.
UACGGUAGGGUGCAAGCGUUAAUCGGAAUUACUGGGCGUAAAGCGUGCGCAGGCGGUUUUGUAAGUCUGUCGUCGGAAAUCCCCGGGCUCAACCUGGGAAUUGCGAUGGAGACUGCAAGGCUAGAAUCUGGCAGAGGGGGGUAGAAUUCCACGUGUAGCAGUGAAAUGCGUAGAGAUGUGGAGGAACACCGAUGGCGAAGGCAGCCCCCUGGGUCAAGAUUGACGCUCAUGCACGAAAGCGUGGGGAGCAAACAGG